GAUGAACGCUGGCGGCGUGCUUAAUACAUGCAAGUCGAACGGAAAGGCCCUGCUUUUGUGGGGUGCUCGAGUGGCGAACGGGUGAGUAACACGUGAGUAUCCUGCACUUGACUUUGGGAUAACUUCAGGAAACUGGGGCUAAUAUCGGAUAGGAGCUCCUGCUGCAUGGUGGGGGUUGGAAAGUUACGGCGGUUGGGGAUGGACUCGCGGCUUAUCAGCUUGUUGGUGUGGUAGUGGCUUACCAAGGCUUUGACGGGUAGCCGGCCUGAGAGGGUGAACGGGGUCAUGAGGACUACGAGACGGCGCAGAAUCCUACGGGAGGCAACGGUGGAGAGUAUGACGGAAUGGCGGGGAGCCUGAGACGACAACGCCGCGUGCGUAAAAACGGCCUUCUAGUGGUGAACCGCUUUCGCCUGUAACAAAGCGGUAGUGACGGUAAUGGGUAAGAAAGCACCGGCUAACUACGUG
Molecule: ribosomal RNA, 468 nt
Filed under: uncultured bacterium
Lineage: Bacteria
Description: partial 16S ribosomal RNA
Rfam family: Bacterial small subunit ribosomal RNA
Source: RNAcentral